This 5435-nucleotide long non-coding RNA is filed under the name Sarcophilus harrisii (Tasmanian devil). RNAcentral's name for it is "lncRNA (ENSSHAG00000031436.1)". The record is from RNAcentral. Lineage: Eukaryota; Metazoa; Chordata; Mammalia; Dasyuromorphia; Dasyuridae.
CUCCUCUAAAAUAUUUAACUGCAUUUACAAAUGUUUAGUUAAAAGAUAUAACCAAAUAGUUAUAAUAAGAUGUUCUUUUGAUGUCUCCAUCUAUCAUUUUACCCAACUAGGAUCAUGUUCAGCUGUUUUAUUAAAAAUCUUUGGGCUUAAUCCUAGUGCUUGUCAUUUUACCCCACCCAUCCUCACCGCCCCCGCCCCCAUGGUAACAUCACUUUUUUCUGUUGCAGAACUUCAUUUUUAUUUGAACUGGCAAAAGCAUAAAUAAUAUCUUAUAAUAAAAUGUGGUGUGAUUUAAAAGCCUAAUCCAGUAGUAUAUGAAUGAAAUAUCUUAUAAGUUUUUUAAAAAUCUGCUGUGUAUUACUUACUGGAUAAUAACAAUUGGAUAAUGUUCUAACCUUGUGUUCCACGAAUCAUUUUUUGUAUUUUAGUAAUCAAUUUUAAUAAUUUUUUUAAAAUGUUACAUUAAAACUCUAAGUUGAGGGUGCUUUGGGAAGGAAUCUGGAAGGGGGAAUAGAGGGGAAAAGGAGAGGGAUUGAAAUUGACAAAAAUGUCCUUUUUAUGGCAUAUAGAGAUAUGAUAGGCAAUGAAAAUUAAAAAUCACACUACCUUUUGAAGCUCCUUUUCUAUGCAGGUUUUUACUGUCAUAUAUUUCUUUUUACAUAUCAUAUUAAAGCUUGUUACCUUCCUUUUCUUGCCCCAAGAUCAAACUGAACAAUGUAUAUAACACUAUCUGUCUGUAAGAUACUUUUUUUUUUAAAGAAAGCAUUUAUAUUUAUAUGACAGCUUGAACUGACAACAUUGUGUACAUAGAUCAUCUUGAAGUAUUAUUUCACAUUGAAAAGAAGACAAAUAUAUUGAUAACUAUAGAAGUUAUGAAAAAGAGCUUCUUUCUAGUUUUGUACUAAAUAUCAUUCAGAUGAGCUAAAUCCAAGAACAUUAACACUAUAGCAGCAGUCUUAAGUCUCAUUUUUACAAUUUAUAUAUUUGAAAGCUGCUAUUGUGGAUAAUUUUCACCCAUCACAUUUUCAGCUAAACUUGAUUUCCCAGAAUAGACUGUUAACUUUCAAAACUAUUCAUUGGUAAAAUGAGAGUGAUUGUUUUUUUUUUCCCUUGGGAAUGAGAUUUGUUAUUUGUCAGUGCUUAAGUUUCUGAUUCAGGUUUGAGCAAGGUGUGAACAACUGAAGAAAAGAACUUGCUGGCUGUAUAGGAAAAUGCUGUGGAAUUGUACUGUGUAUAUACUUUUGGGAAGAAACAAACUUAACAAUUUCCUCUGAGCACUAAUCAACAUAGUGCAACUCCUAUUCCUGUACUGUAUUUUAUAUGCAACAGAUAUGCUUUAAUAUUUUUAAUGAAUUUGUGCAUUAAUAUUUUCAAUUUGUUUAACCACUUUGCUGCUACAAUUUUGCCACCCCUUCCUUUUUCUUUCCUUUACAAUCUAAAACAAUUUGCUUCAUUAAAAAUUAUGAAUAUGGAUGUAACAGGUUAUUAUUUCAUCCUGGGUCUUUGUAAGUUAAUACACCCAGUUUCUCUGCCAAUAACAUGAUGAACAUAGGAAAAUCAAUCUAUGCCAUAAACUAAUGAUAUAAUAUAGUUGGAUCCUUAUAGAAGGACAGAUUAUGUUAAAUUAGCUGGACUGGUGACAUGGAAACAGAUACCUUUAUCAGUCCAUAAGUAUCCUCAUAUGUAGGGAAAUCAAACCUCUAAGUAAAUUAAGGACUGUUUAUUUAUACUGCCCAUUAAUGCUUCUGACAAUUGGACCUUCCUCUGAAAAGUUCCUUAGGUUUUUGUUUGUGAUGUUGAAAGUAGCCAGUACAACCUGCCAAGUGACAUGGAAAGAAACGAUCUCCUGAGGCCUACCUAUUAUUAUUGUGUAGUGAUGUCUCCUUAUCCUAGCCAUGCAGGGUAGAAAUGUUUGAUCUCUGAAGACUGCUCAGCCAUAGCACUUCAGCUCCACCUGCUGGAAUGACAUCCAUCCAGAAAAACCUUUGGGAAUAAAGGAUAUGAUAUACACCCCAGUAUUUACAGGUCAGGGACGAUUCAGAAAAGGCACUUUGGCCUCAGAACACCAGGAAUUAAAAAAUAUUUAGAAAAAGCUAAGUUUUUCCCCUUAUUGGUGAAGCCUAGAAAACUUUGUCAUUUCCCUUUUUUGAUUAUUAAUAGGGAAUAUAAACCAUAAAAGUUUCCCUUGAAAGGUAACAGAUUAUCUAGAACUGGCAACAUAGUAAAUAUCGAAUUCUUAUAUGGCCAGAUAUGAAACUCGUUCUGCUCUGAUAAUUUAUUUCUUGGCAGAAAGCUUAACCACAAAGAAUGUGUGCUGAAGGAAAAAUUUUUGAGAAUUUUGCCAGUGAUUGUGUUGUUGCAAAUUCAUUAGAGUAAGGGAUUUUGUGAGUGUGUAUGUAUGCGUGAGCGAGAAGGGAAAGUGAUGGUCCGAAGGUAGUAUGUAAAGGACAAAGGAUUGAAAUAUCUAGUUUUGUUGAUUAUGCAAACAGCUGUGCUCAUAACUAGCUCUUGAGGUAACACUAAAAUAAGUUGCACUUUCUGAUCAUGCUUAAAAUAUCUGUCAUUACUAGGGGCUUUUUUGAUUAAUUGAACAGCACAAUAAGGUGGUUUUUUUUUAAAUUGAGGUAAGAUCCAGAAUAUGACUAUUGGAUGAUUGAAACAGCAUCACAUGUCCUAAAAAACAUGCUUCACCUGUUAAUAUUUGUUGAAACUUUAUGACUGCAUCCUGUACUUUAUUCUAUAUAAUAUUGUUUAAAGUCCUAGCAAAUGGUCUGUUAAGCAAGCAUAUCAUUUUUCCUUCAUUUAAAAUAUAUAUAUAAAUAUAUACACGUGUGUGUAUAUAUAAUAUGUAUUUAAAUGUAAACAUUGGUCCCUUGAAAUAUCUGAAGACACUAGUGGCCCUCGCUUUUUUUUUGACUUAUACUUCAAUUGUUUUUCAAAAAAAGCCCUAGAAACUAGCACAAACAUACCUUUUUUUUUCUUUGUUCUAUCCCUCCUUAUGAUCCCCAUCUGUCUUGAGAUUGAACCUUAAAUUUUAAAGUGAUGCCAUUGUAAUGUGCUUUUCAAGCAAUUUCAUACAUGAAAUAAAACUAGACCACGGUGAUUGAUAGAAAGCAAAGAUGUUAAUAGGCCUUAAGCUACUGUUUGCUUUAGCAGCCACGUGGUUAUCAACUUCCGUAUGCUUUGGUGCACUGCUAAAUGUUAGCCUUUGUUCCUGAAAGCUUAAACUAAAAACUUUGUGAUUAAUUUUAAAAAUUCUAAAGCAUUGUUUAGUGUAAAACUCUUUGUAUUUGAAGCUGCACUAUAAAUGGUACAUAGAUUUUGUGAACACACUGCCUCUCCUUUUUGCAAAUAGUGCCAUUUGCUUUCUACCCUGACCUCAAAAAGUGCCUCACUUGUAUAUUAUUCCCAUUACCCUCAACUGCUUUCUUUAUAAUAAGCAAUGUAUGAUUUAGUUAAACUUGUCAUAGAUGUAUUUCCUUUUAUGUAUACAAAUAUAUAGCUUGGUACUUUUCAGUAUAUAAUGUACAUAUGCAUAUAUAAGUUUGUAACUUUUGUUACACCAUAUUUGUGUAAUUGGACAUAUCAGAUAAUAUCAUAAAAGUUUGUUUUUAAUGGUCCCCACCCUGUAAUUACUGAUUAAACCAAUCAUAAAAUUAAAAAGGGUUUUUUUUCCUCAAUGUCAUGAGCCUGUUUACACUGACAAAUGAAGUGUUAGUUAAUAAUCAAGAGUAAAAGAGCUUUUAAUCAUGCUUUUUUAAAAUUAAAAUUAUUUAAGAAUUAUAUUGUUUUAAAAACCCAAAGUUCAUUUAAACUUCACCUCAAAUAGCUAGUUCCUUAUUGAUUAUAUUACAACUUUUUAAAGCCAUAAUGAAUGCUAUAUUUCCAUUCACUGACAAGGGAAGAAAUUAUCAUUAAUUCUUUAAAAUCAAUUUGGGAUCAUUUAUAACAAACUUCAAAUCCUAGGUUAGCACGUUGACUCUCAACCAAUUCUUUCUACUGUCAGUUGGCAUUUAUUCAAGUAAUAUAACCUAGUUUUAUUAGUUGCUUAAAUGAAGUAUAAUGGGGAAGAGGUUUUUGUUUGUUGUCCUUCUGAACCUGUGAUUUCUUCAGUAAUUAAACUCCAAAUUUGGGGUCAUAAAAAACUCCCUGGUAUAUCAAAAGGUUAAGUGACUUAAAUAUUCCUGAAUUCAAAGCUAAUAGCCCUUUUUCCAUUCUACUUUUUAAUUAGGAAGAUAAAACUACAAUAAAAAAAUACCAUGUAAUACUUUCCAAGGAUAAACUUUUGGUUUAUGCAUGCCAUUGCUGGCCUUUGAAUCAAGAGAUAGUUCAGAACUGACUUUUAGGCUUGCCUUAUAUUAUUGAAUCUUGUUAUAUAAAGCAACUUUUUGAUAUUUUUAUUAUUUUUAUUACUAAGUUUUCAUAAACAUAAGAUUCCUUUAUCUAAGAUAAUAAUUAAUGUUUGCCAAAGAAGAUGAAAACAGAUCUGCUACAACUUGAUAAUGAAAAUGUGUUACAAAUAAAGAUAAUGCUUAAAUUAAAAGUAAUUCUUGCAAAACUUUUUCGACUAGCCUACCAAUCAAUUUUUUUGAACUUGCUUUAGAUUCUCUCUUAGGAAAUUCUGGGCCUGAUUCCCAAAAGUCAGAUAAUUUGAUUCUGAAACUCAUUUCUAUUUUUCAAAGAAAAAAAAAAGCCAACAGUAAGGUUUUCAAUUAAGCUUUUUCAGUAGAGGAAAAGUCAUAUUUAAGUGAAUUUAAUGGAAUAUGCAUUGUUGAAAUUAAAUAUUGUUAAAAAUGAAGAUUGCAGAAAAACAUUUGACUCUUGCUUGCUAUAAUGAAUCAACAGGUGAAAAGAAUGUAAUAAGUAAAUAUAAAUAGUAUUAUGUGCACCUUACCUUCAUCCCUUCUCUCUUCUAAGAAUGCUGGGGUGUGAUAUUUGUCAUGGAGUGUCACUUAACGAAUUUAAAAAAUUUUAGGUUUUCAUGCAGAGAUGGUUUAAGGUUAAAAAAAGUUCAUGGGGUAAUUGCUGCUUGAUCAAGGAUUAUAUGAUUUAGCAUUAGUAGGUAUCUUAGAGAUUGAUCAUUUAGUCUCAUUUCCUCAUUUAACAGAUAAAGAAAUUGAGGUCCAGAAAGAUGAAAUUACUGACUUAUCCAAGAAACUUAAAGGUAAACCCAGGACUAGAAUCAGGGCUUCCCUAGUUCUAGUCUAAUACUUUGUUACACAAUUGAUGGCAAAAUAAAAGAAGUAAAAAUUCCUCAUGUUACACAUUGCACGUGAUUUUGGAUUCUCAAUAUAUUAAUUGUGCUGAUUUUUUUUUCUUCUAAAAAAUACUAUUUGUCAUAUUGGAUGACUGGAAGGGGAGAGUAGAAGGAUACUAUGGAUUACUUAUGAUGAUGUAAUGUCAAUAAAAUAUCAAUAAAAUUUGCUAAAAUAGUG